CGCGGCCUAUCAGCUUGUUGGUGGGGUGAAGGCCUACCAAGGCGAUUACGGGUAGCCGGCCUGAGAGGGCGACCGGCCACACUGGGACUGAGACACGGCCCAGACUCCUACGGGAGGCAGCAGUGGGGAAUAUUGCGCAAUGGGCGGAAGCCUGACGCAGCGACGCCGCGUGGGGGAUGACGGCCUUCGGGUUGUAAACCUCUUUUACCACCGACGCAGGCCCGUGCUUCUGUGCGGGUUGACGGUAGGUGGGGAAUAAGGACCGGCCAACUACGUGCCAGCAGCCGCGGUAAUACGUAGGGUCCGAGCGUUGUCCGGAAUUAUUGGGCGUAAAGAGCUCGUAGGCGGCGUGUCGCGUCUGCUGUGUAAGUCCGGGGCUUAACUCCGGUUUGGCAGUGGAUACGGGCAUGCUAGAGGUAGGCAGGGGAGACUGGAAUUCCUGGUGUAGCGGUGAAAUGCGCAGAUAUCAGGAGGAACACCGGUGGCGAAGGCGGGUCUCUGGGCCUUACCUGACGCUGAGGAGCGAAAGCGUGGGGAGCGAACAGGAUUAGAUACCCUGGUAGUCCACGCUGUAAACGUUGGGCGCUAGGUGUGGGGACUUUCCACGGUUUCCGUGCCGUAGCUAACGCAUUAAGCGCCCCGCCUGGGGAGUACGG
RNAcentral lists this ribosomal RNA (656 nucleotides) under uncultured Actinomycetes bacterium. Its description in RNAcentral is "bacterial SSU rRNA". It matches the Rfam family "Bacterial small subunit ribosomal RNA", at positions 232 to 885 of the family's 1533-position model. The record is from RNAcentral. Lineage: Bacteria; Bacillati; Actinomycetota; Actinomycetes.